Papaver somniferum (opium poppy) is the source of this 796-nucleotide long non-coding RNA. RefSeq lists it as uncharacterized. The record is from RefSeq and is a predicted model, not a curated record. The transcript has 3 exons. Lineage: Eukaryota; Viridiplantae; Streptophyta; Magnoliopsida; Ranunculales; Papaveraceae.
GAUCGGCCGACCCCUACACACAUGAAGAACUUGAAAAACUGAGAAGAACAUAUCAUAAGAAGAAGAAAAAAUACGUGCAAAACGAUCAGGAAUCUACACCCUACAUCGUAGUUCCACGUACUGCCUACAAAUAAGUGAAAACCCUAAACUCUAAUUUCUCAUUCUCCGCCGCUCUGCCCUCUACCUAUCUCUUUCUCCUUCAACUUCUUCCCCCAUUUCACAGCAAAAGAGCAUAACUGCACAAACACUUCGUGUUGCUUCUUCCCUCAUGAAUCUCCUCCUUUAAGAUUUGGAAACGAAAAGAUGAACGAAGAUGUGGAAUAUUAGUUAUUUUUGAUUGAAUUUAAUGGACCUCAAUUCAGCAAAAUCUGAAACGAAGGGUCAAAAAGAGAAUACUGAGCGGAUGCUGCAGCAAUGAUCGUAUUUACUCCAGGUAAAGAAAAAAAUUUACUCCAGUGAGGAGAAGAUAAAAAUGGUGGUGUAUUCCAGUAGUGGUGUAUUUUAUGGAAGAUUGUAGCUCGUUUCCAGCUUUAUUGAAUCAGGUUCAAGCUCCUCCACCAAACCCAAGUUUGCUUAUAUAUGAUGUAUCAGAUCUGUGAAAUUCGCACUACUGAUCGGCGUUGGUCGGAUGCAGAAUAAAAUUGGUAUGCUGAAUUUUAUGCACAUAAUCAUAAAAUGCGAUUAUUCAAAUGUUGAAAUGUACUUUUAUUUAUUUAUUUUUUGGAUAAUAUGAGAUUGUAAAUUGAAGUCAUUAAUAUAAUAUAUAUACAAGUAUAUUGUUGUUAAUUUGGCUUCA